This 376-nucleotide ribosomal RNA is filed under the name uncultured bacterium. RNAcentral describes it as "bacterial SSU rRNA". It matches the Rfam family "Bacterial small subunit ribosomal RNA", at positions 524 to 898 of the family's 1533-position model. The record is from RNAcentral.
UACAGAGGGUGCGAACGUUGCUCGGAAUUACUGGGCGUAAAGCGCGUGUAGGCGGUCCGUUAAGUUGGUAGUGAAAUCCCAUGGCUCAACCAUGGAAGUGCUGCCAAAACUGGCGGGCUGGAGUGCCGGAGAGGGUGGCGGAAUUCCCAGUGUAGAGGUGAAAUUCGUAGAUAUUGGGAGGAACACCGGUGGCGAAGGCGGCCACCUGGACGGUAACUGACGCUAAGACGCGAAAGCGUGGGGAGCAAACAGGAUUAGAUACCCUGGUAGUCCACGCUGUAAACGAUGAGCACUAGGUGUUGCGGGUAUUGACCCCUGCAGUGCCGACGCUAACGCAUUAAGUGCUCCGCCUGGGGACUACGGCCGCAAGGCUAAA